This 305-nucleotide unclassified non-coding RNA is filed under the name plant metagenome. RNAcentral describes it as "partial contains 5.8S ribosomal RNA, internal transcribed spacer 2, and large subunit ribosomal RNA". The stretch from base 1 to 105 matches the Rfam family "5.8S ribosomal RNA", at positions 50 to 154 of the family's 154-position model. The record is from RNAcentral.
GAAAUGCGAUAAGUAGUGUGAAUUGCAGAAUUCAGUGAAUCAUCGAAUCUUUGAACGCACAUUGCGCCCUUUGGUAUUCCUUAGGGCAUGCCUGUUCGAGCGUCAUCUAAACCUUCAAGCCCUGCUUGGUGUUGGGUGCCUGUCCCGCCUCCGCGCGCGGACUCACCUCAAAUCCAUUGGCGGCCCCCGCGUCGGCCACGAGCGCAGCAGAAACGCGAACUCGUGAGCCCGUCCGGGCGGCUCCCAGAAGCUACACCCACCCAGUUUGACCUCGGAUCAGGUAGGGAUACCCGUUGAACUUAAGC